RNAcentral lists this long non-coding RNA (2826 nucleotides) under Mus musculus (house mouse). RNAcentral's name for it is "long non-coding RNA chr10:40352911-40355737". The record is from RNAcentral. Lineage: Eukaryota; Metazoa; Chordata; Mammalia; Rodentia; Muridae.
GGAUUGUCAUGGUUGAAGAUACCCAUUUCCACAGAGCUGUCCUCUGACUUCCACACCUGUGACAUGUGGGUGUUCUCUCCUCUAGGUAUUCAAAGGAAAUAAAUGCCAAAAAAAAAAAAAUUCAGGCUGAAAAUUAAUUACCUACAAUUUACUUAUUAGACAUAUUACAUGUGAGCUGUGGCAUGCACUUGGAGGUCAGGAGACAACCUUGUGGCAUGGAUCUUGUCUACCUUCAUAUAGGUUCUGAGGGUUGAAUUGAAGCUGCCGUGCUGGCGUUAUCUAUCAGACAGGUGCCUUCACCUGCUGGACCAUUUUGUUGGCCCAAAUUUACUUACUGGUUCUGAGGUCCAAUAUAGAGCCUUGGGAAUACCCAGCAUGCACGCUGCCACUGAGCUAUGCUUCCAGCUCUAGGAUAUCUUAGAAUUUUUUAGUAUGAGUAAGAAUUCAUAAGAUUUUUUUUCCUUAGUAGUAAAAAGUUUCACACUGUGCUGGGGAUGUAGCUCAGUUGGUAGAAUGCUUGCAUAGCACACAGAGGCUCUAGGUUCUAUACUGUAUAAGCCGGACUUGACACAAUACCAAUACUUGGGAAAUGGAGCCAGGAGGAUCAGAUGCUCAAGGCUGUAGUUAGCUAUAUAUGAGUUCCAUCCAGCCUGGGGCACCUGAGACCCUGUUUCAAAAAAAGUUGGGCAUAAAACUUUAUAGUGACAAGUCUGAAAACAGUAUCUUUCUAGUUAGGAGCACUUAAUUAUGACUGAUAAAGGAAUAUUGUUAAAUUCUUUUCAUUAAAAGGGUCAUAAAAACCUGAUUCUAUGGCAUAGGAUUAUAUAUGAAAACUUGACUAAUGUGAGUUGGAUUUCCAAGACUGAUUGAAAACAAAAAGUUGCUUUGUAUGACUGUUUUUGAAAGGUACUUGGUAAUCGAAAGUGGAGUGGCUGCCAGAGUUCCUAAGAGUUUCAGUUUUGUCUUAGGUUUCAGCUGAGGACUAGGGUACGUAGGCAUGUUUUAAUGUCUCAUGAAGUCCUUCACGUGUAACUACAUGUAGAUAGACACGGAAAAUCAGUGCAGCAGCAUCUGUCUGGGUGGUUUUUGUUUUUUUUUUUUUUUUUUUUGCAUCUGCCUGUUUUUAAUGGAGUUUCCCCAGUUGGUUUGUAGAUUUUUGUGUUUGCUUUGUGUGUGUGUGUGUUUGCAUUUUGAUCGGUGGCUCCUGGAGGUUUAGGUAGUCCGCUCUGUGAUAAUAAGUAGUAUUUUCUAAUUCUCAACAGCUUUAGAUCAUCUAGCUCAACUGCCUUUGUUUUAGACAGCGGAGCUCAGGGAAACUCAGGGCUCCAAGGUUAUUAACUCACUGUCACACAGAACUAGGAAGCCUGAAGCCCAGACAGGAGUCCUGUAUUUUGUUAUGCAUUUUCCUUCCUAAUGAGAAGAAAGCAAAAAAGGCCAUUUUGGCCGGGCGUGGUGGCGCACGCCUUUAAUCCCAGCACUCGGGAGGCAGAGGCAGGCCUGUUCUACAAAGUGAGUUCCAGGACAGCUAGGGCUCUACAGAGAAACCCUGUCUCGAAAAACAAAGCAAAAAAAAAAAAAAAAAAAAAAAAAAAAGACCGUUUUGCCUUUACCUUGGGUAAUUUUAUCUAAACACUUAUUUCAUACAAACAAAACAAAACAAAACACCAACCAACAACAAAAACAAAAACAAAAAAACACCCCCAAACCACUCAUAUCAGAAAUAUGGGAAAAAACUACAGGAAAAGAACAUUUAAAAAAGGAGUGCAGAGGAGGAGGUAUUUGGGGUAAAGUUGGUAGCUUGCCCAAGGCUCUGGAGUCAAUGCCCAGAGCAGCAGAACAACAGAAGAGUGUCCGCAUAGCUGCUUAUCUUCCUGACUUACCCUGGUCCCCUGUGUCACCACUGUGGUCCUUCCUGUGACUCACACAGCUGCAGAACUGGUGUCCACCUUUGGUCUUUUCUCACUGUAGACUAAGAUCCAAGUUGCUGUCAUUGUCAUAUUUCCUGAAAAUAAAGUCAGGUAUAUUUUGUUUAGAAAAAUCAUACAUUUCUUCUUAUGUAUAACUGGGUCAGAUCUACCCUACAGUACCUUAAUUUGACAUCAGAAGACAUGUGCACUCAGAUCCUGACCAUUCUUUUUCCACUUCAUUGAAUUGAUUUAUAGUGUUGAACUACAUUUUCUAGGACUUAGGUCUUCCCCUGUCUGAUACUUACGUUUUACCUAGGAUGGGGUCGUCACUGACAGUCCUCUUACUCAUUUCUUUGUCCUUACACAUCAGGCCACCUCUUGUUCAUAUUUCAGUACCCAGCUUUAUUUGCUUUCUGCCGGAAGUCUCCCCUCAGUCAUUCAAUGUGCUUACCUGUGCCUCUGUUCCUCCUUACAGAUACAGUUUCACUCGCAAAGAUGUUGCAGUCUUUCCAAGUUGUUAGCUUCAGUGUCUAGUAUACAGUUGGGUAUAUAUACACAAUCAAAAACUAUGUAGAUUUUGUAGUGUAGGGUGCAGUGGCACAUACUCCACCCAGCACUCAGGAGGCAGAGGAAGGAGAAACCUUCAACUCCAACUGGGCCACACGAGACCCUGUUGGAAACAAACCCAAAUUGUUGAAUUUUAAAAAUUCUACAAAGUGGUAAAUGUGCUUUCAUGACCUUAAGAACAAAUUGAGCUAGGUAGUGGUGGAGCACGACUUUAAUACAAGAACUUGGGAGGCAGAGAGGCAGGUGGAUUUCUGAGUUCGAGGCCAGCCUGGUCUACAGGACAGCCAGGGCUAUACAGAGAAACCCUGUCUCGAAAAACCUAAAAAGGAAAAAACAAAACAAAACAAAACCC